CAGCGGAGCGUGUGGUUUAAUUCGAUGUUACACGAAGAACCUUUACCAGGGUUUGACAUGCAAGUGGUAGGAAGCCGAAAGGUGACCGACCCUUCGGGGAGCUUGCACAGGUGCUGCAUGGCUGUCGUCAGCUCGUGUCGUGAGAUGUUCGGUUAAGUCCGCUAACGAGCGCAACCCUCGUCGUAUGUUAUAUGUGUCAUACGAGACUGCCGGUAAAAGCCGGAGGAAGGUGAGGAUGAUGUCAAGUCAGCAUGACCUUUAUAUCCAGGGCUACACACACGCUACAAUGGUCUGUACAAUGGGUAGCCAAGCCGCGAGGCGGAGCCAAUCCUGAAAGCAGGCCUCAGUUCAGAUUGCAGUCUGCAACUCGACUGCAUGAAGCCGGAGUUGCUAGUAACCGCAGGUCAGCAAUACUCGCGGUCGAAUACGUUCCCGGGUCUU
Molecule: ribosomal RNA, 441 nt
Filed under: uncultured Anaerolineaceae bacterium
Lineage: Bacteria; Bacillati; Chloroflexota; Anaerolineae; Anaerolineales; Anaerolineaceae
Description: bacterial SSU rRNA
Rfam family: Bacterial small subunit ribosomal RNA
Source: RNAcentral